Molecule: long non-coding RNA, 399 nt
Filed under: Homo sapiens (human)
Lineage: Eukaryota; Metazoa; Chordata; Mammalia; Primates; Hominidae
Description: HSALNT0331843
Source: RNAcentral
AGAAGGUUCUAUUUCCAGCAAGAACAAGAUGUUUCUUCCACCAGAAUUAGCACAAGACAGCCCGAGCCCAGCCAAGGCUGGAAACUUCAGCGAACAAAGAUUUUAAUGAGCAGAAAGCUGAAGACCUGAACUGAUCUUAAAACUUCUACUGUGGUGCCCUUCAAACCAUUCUCCACACUUCAGCAAGAAGGAUCCUAUAAAAACCCAAAUGUUAUCCCCAUAUCCUUACUCUACUUAAAACUUCACUUUUCUCAGAACAUAGCCCCAUCAUGAAGCAACGCAUGACUCUGUGUGUGUGUGUGUGUGUAGAUAAAUGAAGCAAAAGUAUGAUUUGAUUUGAAUGAUUAGGAAAAGUUGCACCAUUUUCAGUGUCUUUAAUUUUUCUUUCUCCUUUGACGC